RNAcentral lists this ribosomal RNA (765 nucleotides) under Erysiphe circaeae. RNAcentral describes it as "eukaryotic LSU rRNA". It matches the Rfam family "Eukaryotic large subunit ribosomal RNA", at positions 1 to 779 of the family's 3401-position model. Lineage: Eukaryota; Fungi; Ascomycota; Leotiomycetes; Helotiales; Erysiphaceae. The record is from RNAcentral.
UUGACCUCGAAUCAGGUAGGAAUACCCGCUGAACUUAAGCAUAUCAAUAAGCGGAGGAAAAGAAACCAACCGGGAUUACCUCAGUAACGGCGAGUGAAGCGGUAACAGCUCAAAUUUGAAAUCUGGCUCCUUCGGAGUCCGAGUUGUAAUUUGUAGAAGAUGCUUUGGGUUGUGGGCUCGGCCUAAGUUCCUUGGAACAGGACGUCAUAGAGGGUGAGAAUCCCGUAUGUGGCCAUGGCCCGCGCCUAUGUAAAGCUCUUUCGACGAGUCGAGUUGUUUGGGAAUGCAGCUCAAAAUGGGUGGUAAAUUUCAUCUAAAGCUAAAUAUGGGCCAGAGACCGAUAGCGCACAAGUAGAGUGAUCGAAAGAUGAAAAGCACUUUGGAAAGAGAGUUAAACAGUACGUGAAAUUGUUGAAAGGGAAGCGCUUGCAACCAGACUUGGGCGCUGCCGAUCACCCCGAGUUCUCUCGGGUGCACUCGACAGCGCACAGGCCAGCAUCGGUUCGGGUGGCUGGAUAAAGGCCGUAGGAAUGUAGCUCUCUUCGGGGAGUGUUAUAGCCCACGGUGCCAUGCAGCCCAGCCGGACCGAGGACCGCGCCUUCGGGCUAGGAUGCUGGCGUAAUGGUUGUAAGCGACCCGUCUUGAAACACGGACCAAGGAGUCUAACAUCUAUGCGAGUGUUUGGGCGUUAAACCCAUACGCGGAAUGAAAGUGAACGUAGGUGAGAACCCCUUUGGGGCGCAUCAUCGACCGAUCCUGAUGUCU